This is a long non-coding RNA of Lutra lutra (Eurasian river otter), 358 nucleotides long. RefSeq lists it as uncharacterized. The record is from RefSeq and is a predicted model, not a curated record. The transcript has 3 exons. NCBI's taxonomy places the organism in Eukaryota, Metazoa, Chordata, Mammalia, Carnivora, Mustelidae.
CAGUUGGCAGUGGGGUUGGAGCUGGUGCCCCAAUUUCACUCACCUGAAGGGGUCCUUUCCUUCAGAUGAGGAAACAUCAACUGAGACUGUGUCUCAUGGUUAAGCUGUGCCCCUGUAUUGGAUACCAAAAAAGAACCACAAGGCCUAUUGGCCUCUGUAUUUUCUGCAAGCAGGAAAAAAGACAUCGAACUUAGAAGGGCAGGCAAGCAUCGGGGAAACACAUUUGGAAGGCAUCCCUAGGCCUAAGAGUUGAAGACCUAAAAACAAAACAAGGUGUCUUAACGUGAUUCAUCAAAAAUAUGUUUCCUAUUCUCAUACUCGCUGUUUUAUUGUUGCUAAUGAAACUGUCUAUAAAGGA